Molecule: ribosomal RNA, 409 nt
Filed under: uncultured bacterium
Lineage: Bacteria
Description: bacterial SSU rRNA
Rfam family: Bacterial small subunit ribosomal RNA
Source: RNAcentral
CAGCAGCCGCGGUAAUACGUAGGGUGCGAGCGUUAAUCGGAAUUACUGGGCGUAAAGCGUGCGCAGGCGGUCUUGAAAGUCAGAUGUGAAAGCCCCGGGCUCAACCUGGGAACUGCGUUUGAAACUCCAAGACUAGAGUAUGGCAGAGGGGGGUAGAAUUCCACGUGUAGCAGUGAAAUGCGUAGAGAUGUGGAGGAAUACCGAUGGCGAAGGCAGCCCCCUGGGUCGCCACUGACGCUCAUGCACGAAAGCGUGGGGAGCAAACAGGAUUAGAUACCCUGGUAGUCCACGCCCUAAACGAUGCCGACUAGGUGUUGGGGAAGGAGACUUCCUUAGUACCGUAGCUAACGCGUGAAGUCGGCCGCCUGGGGAGUACGGUCGCAAGAUUAAAACUCAAAGGAAUUGACGG